CAGAAAAUAGUUUAUGUAAAAUAUUAGUUUUGGAGACUAAAGAGAGGGGGUUCCUUUUUUCUGA
This 64-nucleotide transfer RNA is filed under the name Xylosandrus morigerus. RNAcentral's name for it is "tRNA-Pro". It matches the Rfam family "tRNA". From Rfam's summary of the family: Transfer RNA (tRNA) molecules are approximately 80 nucleotides in length. Their secondary structure includes four short double-helical elements and three loops (D, anti-codon, and T loops). Further hydrogen bonds mediate the characteristic L-shaped molecular structure. tRNAs have two regions of fundamental functional importance: the anti-codon, which is responsible for specific mRNA codon recognition, and the 3' end, to which the tRNAs corresponding amino acid is attached (by aminoacyl-tRNA synthetases). tRNAs cope with the degeneracy of the genetic code in two manners: having more than one tRNA (with a specific anti-codon) for a particular amino acid; and 'wobble' base-pairing, i.e. permitting non-standard base-pairing at the 3rd anti-codon position. Lineage: Eukaryota; Metazoa; Arthropoda; Insecta; Coleoptera; Curculionidae. The record is from RNAcentral.